AAGACGAAAGUAACUCUACACUCAGUUUCGACCUGAGCCUUGGCCAAAGCCUCGUCUUA
Molecule: transfer RNA, 59 nt
Filed under: Eurythenes magellanicus
Lineage: Eukaryota; Metazoa; Arthropoda; Malacostraca; Amphipoda; Lysianassidae
Description: tRNA-Arg
Source: RNAcentral